AGAGUUUGAUCCUGGCUCAGAACGAACGCUGGCGGCGCGCCUAAUACAUGCAAGUCGAGCGAGAAGACGUAGCAAUACGUUUGUAAAGCGGCGAACGGGUGAGGAAUACAUGGGUAACCUACCCUCGAGUGGGGAAUAACUAGCCGAAAGGUUAGCUAAUACCGCAUACGACUCUCGGUCUGCGGGUCGAGAGGGAAAGCGAUACCGUGGGUAUCGCGCUCAUGGAUGGGCUCAUGUCCUAUCAGCUUGUUGGUGAGGUAAUGGCUCACCAAGGCUUCGACGGGUAGCUGGUCUGAGAGGACGAUCAGCCACACUGGCACUGCGACACGGGCCAGACUCCUACGGGAGGCAGCAGUAAGGAAUAUUGCGCAAUGGGCGACAGCCUGACGCAGCGACGCCGCGUGGGGGAUGAAGGUCUUCGGAUUGUAAACCCCUUUCGGCAGGGAAGAUGGAACGGGUAACCGUUCGGACGGUACCUGCAGAAGCAGCCACGGCUAACUUCGUGCCAGCAGCCGCGGUAAUACGAAGGUGGCAAGCGUUGUUCGGAUUUACUGGGCGUACAGGGAGCGUAGGCGGUUGGGUAAGCCCUCCGUGAAAUCUCCGGGCCUAACCCGGAAAGUGCGGAGGGGACUGCUCGGCUAGAGGAUGGGAGAGGAGCGCGGAAUUCCCGGUGUAGCGGUGAAAUGCGUAGAGAUCGGGAGGAAGGCCGGUGGCGAAGGCGGCGCUCUGGAACAUUUCUGACGCUGAGGCUCGAAAGCGUGGGGAGCAAACAGGAUUAGAUACCCUGGUAGUCCACGCCU
Molecule: ribosomal RNA, 800 nt
Filed under: uncultured bacterium
Lineage: Bacteria
Description: bacterial SSU rRNA
Rfam family: Bacterial small subunit ribosomal RNA
Source: RNAcentral